ACACGACUACAUUAGAUACCGUGUAGUCCUAGCCGUAAACGAUACUCGCUAGGUGUCGGCCACGGUGCGACCGUUGUCGGUGCCGUAGGGAAGCCGUGGAGCGAGCCACCUGGGAAGUACGGCCGCAAGGCUGAAACUUAAAGGAAUUGGCGGGGGAGCACAACAACGGGUGGAGCUUGCGGUUUAAUUGGAUUCAACGCCGGAAAUCUUACCGGGACCGACAGCAACAUGAAGGCCAAGCUGAAGACUUUGCCGGAUUAGCUG
This 264-nucleotide ribosomal RNA is filed under the name uncultured archaeon. RNAcentral's name for it is "partial 16S ribosomal RNA". It matches the Rfam family "Archaeal small subunit ribosomal RNA", at positions 719 to 982 of the family's 1478-position model. The record is from RNAcentral.